Molecule: transfer RNA, 69 nt
Filed under: Bucco macrodactylus
Lineage: Eukaryota; Metazoa; Chordata; Aves; Piciformes; Bucconidae
Description: tRNA-His
Rfam family: tRNA
About the family: Transfer RNA (tRNA) molecules are approximately 80 nucleotides in length. Their secondary structure includes four short double-helical elements and three loops (D, anti-codon, and T loops).
Source: RNAcentral
GUAGAUGUAGUUUAACUAGAACAUUAGGCUGUGAUCCUAAAAACAGAAGUUCAACCCUUCUCAUUUACC